UUGGACUGGAGGUUUAGAACAACACUAGACUAAAUCUGCACUAAGCAUCAUUAUCAGGUUAACAAGAGAAUAAACGUACCCCAUCCUAUAAUACAAAGCAGUGCCAUGUUGUGUCUGCUGAUGAGUACCAUCUAGUGUUCAGUAAGCAAUUAGAAUCAGAUCAACCAGUCUCAAUGCAGGAAUUUGUAUACACUGCAACACUGUAUUUUGAUAGGCCAGAAGGUUCCACUUGUCUAUAAACAUAUCAUUUUCUUUUAUUUAAAAACUGACAUUUGUAGUUCAGUUCAUAUCAGCUUUUCAGUGCAAAGGCAGCACAGUUUUUAAUCAAGUUAUUGUUUAUCCAAGAAACCACAUGUAGUGUACCUUAUGAUCAUUUUGAUCCUUGACUUCCCUGAAGAAUCGGAUAUCUUUGAUUAACUUUGGUAAACUUGAUUUGGACUGGAGGUUUAGAACAACACUAGACUAAAUCUGCACUAAGCAUCAUUAUCAGGUUAACAAGAGAAUAAACGUACCCCAUCCUAUAAUACAAAGCAGUGCCAUGUUGUGUCUGCUGAUGAGUACCAUCUAGUGUUCAGUAAGCAAUUAGAAUCAGAUCAACCAGUCUCAAUGCAGGAAUUUGUAUACACUGCAACACUGUAUUUUGAUAGGCCAGAAGGUUCCACUUGUCUAUAAACAUAUCAUUUUCUUUUAUUUAAAAACUGACAUUUGUAGUUCAGUUCAUAUCAGCUUUUCAGUGCAAAGGCAGCACAGUUUUUAAUCAAGUUAUUGUUUAUCCAAGAAACCACAUGUAGUGUACCUUAUGAUCAUUUUGAUCCUUGACUUCCCUGAAGAAUCGGAUAUCUUUGAUUAAUCUGGAUUUGAUAUGUUCGUCAUACAUGAACUGGCUAAAGAUAUAGAACUUUUUCCUCAGAAACUGGUGGAAAGUUCAACACAGCCUGCCCCAUUUUGUGGAUCUCAAAGAGACUCAACCUGAGCAACUUUCUUCCUAAAGAAAGGGCAAUUCAGAGGUCUUCCAGGACAUUUCUAAACAUCUUGUCAGCUGUGGCAUUUGCACAAAGAUCUGACUUUAUAUAGUAAC
Molecule: long non-coding RNA, 1078 nt
Organism: Mauremys reevesii (Reeves's turtle)
Lineage: Eukaryota; Metazoa; Chordata; Testudines; Geoemydidae
Exons: 3
Source: RefSeq, a predicted model, not a curated record